GAUGAACGCUGGCGGCGUGCCUAAUACAUGCAAGUCGAGCGGCAGCACGGUCUUCGGACUGGUGGCGAGCGGCGGACGGCAGAGUAACGCGUAGGAAUAUACCCCAAAGUGAGGAAUAACUGCCCGAAAGGGUGGCUAAUGCCGCAUGUGGUCUUCGGAUUAAAGCUUUAUGCGCUUUGGGAAUAGCCUGCGUUCGAUUAGCUAGUUGGUGAGGUAAUGGCUCACCAAGGCUACGAUCGAUAACUGGUCUGAGAGGAUGAUCAGUCUGACUGGAACUGAGACACGGUCCAGACUCCUACGGGAGGCAGCAGUAGGGAAUUUUCCGCAAUGGGCGAAAGCCUGACGGAGCAAUACCGCGUGAGGGAAGAAUGCCUAUGGGUUGUAAACCUCUUUUUCAGGGAGGAAUAAAAUGACGUGUACCUGAAGAAUAAGCAUCGGCUAACUCCGUG
RNAcentral lists this ribosomal RNA (449 nucleotides) under uncultured bacterium. Its description in RNAcentral is "bacterial SSU rRNA". It matches the Rfam family "Bacterial small subunit ribosomal RNA", at positions 28 to 507 of the family's 1533-position model. The record is from RNAcentral.